CGAUCCAGCUGCAACUGGUUAGUUCCAUUUUCGAUCCAUCUCUCAUCUUUAAUGUAGCUUCAUGAUUGUCUUCCCUGCGUGUUCUUGUUGUGCUUUGUUGUUGAAUUUUUGCUGUUGUUCAAAAAUGGAGUUUGAUUUUUGAGGAAGAAGGUGGUUUUUGUUUCAGAAACGGGAAUGAUAUUUGUGGCUCUUGAUGCUUCCCUUUUGUUUAUUUUCAAACUGAUACGUUGUUUUUUUUGUUCUAAAUAACAUGAGGUAUUUGGAUCGAUACCUGUGAGAUCCACAAAAUCCAAUGCCUAGCCUUUUUUUGUUUUGUGUAUCAUCAGUCAUUAUUAGCUUUGUCUUUUUCAUCUGGACCAAGACAGCCAUGCGGCUAGGUCACGCUGCCCUUUGGCUUUCCG
Molecule: long non-coding RNA, 401 nt
Filed under: Lathyrus oleraceus (garden pea)
Lineage: Eukaryota; Viridiplantae; Streptophyta; Magnoliopsida; Fabales; Fabaceae
Description: Pisum sativum (pea) long non-coding RNA (PSAT_LNC010766)
Source: RNAcentral